This 2172-nucleotide ribosomal RNA is filed under the name Triticum aestivum (bread wheat). Its description in RNAcentral is "partial small subunit ribosomal RNA". Lineage: Eukaryota; Viridiplantae; Streptophyta; Magnoliopsida; Poales; Poaceae. The record is from RNAcentral.
AUGAUUGACCAGCUUUCUGCUCCUGCCCAUCAAGGAGGAGCAAGUGACGACCAGCAGCUCCCUCCUGCUCCUACUCCGGCUCCGGCUUCUGCUCCUGCUGCUGCUGCCCAUGAAGAAGGAGGCGCAAGUGAUGACCAGCAGCUCGAGGACAAGGAGAAUCAACAAGUGAAGAAGGAGCUCCAAAAGUGUGUCAAAGAUAGAAGGUUCUUGGUUGUUGUUGAAAAUGGAGACCACCCAUCGCCAUGGAUUGAGAUGAAGGAAAUUCUAGAUUCCUCUGGCUGCUCCCCUGGUAGUGCAAUCAUGGUGACCACAAAGGAUGGUGGGCUGGCCAAGGAAUUCUCUCCAAACAGAACUAAAACCCAUUCCUUUGUCGAGUUUUGUUUGGAGAGAGCUAAGCGGCUGGUUUCCGUGGAAUGCCAUAGAGAGACAGGGGCCAUCUACAGCAUACAACGUGUCUUGCAGCAAUGUGACCCUGAUCUCUUCUGCAUGAAGCUGUUGCUCGGUACCCUGCAUGCUAAUCCCUAUACGGGUAAGAAGCAACUGGACGACCUGUGCACAAGCCUCGAAUCACCAUCACCGGGCCAAUCUCAAUCUGAUCCUGAUGGCAGCAAGCGGCGUCUCCGCGUCCGAAUGAAGAUGAUGAAGUUUUGCUAUGAUAAGUUGCCUGAGAUGGACAAGAGUUGUUUGCUCUACCUAUCCAUCUUCGCCCCAAAUUCCAAUAUCAGGAGGGCUAGCUUGGUAAGAAGAUGGGUAGCCGAAGGCCAUGUAACCCAAGGAGAUGGCCGAGAAGCACUAGACAGAGCUGAGAUCUGCUUUGAGGACCUCCUUGCUCAAGGGUUUGUGGACAUUACCAAGACAGGAAAUUUAGGCAAUGUCAUUUCCUGCAAGGUGCAAAAUAUUAUCUAUGAUUUCAUUACUAAGGCAGUCAAGGACGAGAACUUUGGGGACGCCGGCCUGCCUGCCAAACUUGCUAGCCAUAUUUCCAUUAGCAGUGAUAUCCAGUGGAACCAAGUAUCAGAUAAGCAGAAGCAGCAGCAGAAGCAAGGCAGGUGCAACUGCUUCUCUUCAGCAACGCUAGGACCGCAAGCAGGUGCCCCUGAUCAGAUCACAUCAUUUCUUGAGUGGCUCCCUGUGUUCUCUCGAGUGACCGCGCGGGUUAAGGUGAUGGACCUGAACUUCUGCAAGCAACUGGAGAACCGGCAUCUCAAGAUCAUAUGCAGCAACUUGUUGAAGCUCAAGUAUCUAAGCAUGGUGAGUACAGAGAUUUCUGUGCUGCCCAGAAAAAUCAACAUGCUGGAUGAAUUGGAGACGCUCGAUAUUCGACAGACCAAGGUUCCAUCUUCUGCCACAGAAGGCCUCUUUCUCCCGAUGCUAAAGCAUCUGCUAGCUGGCCCCGUUGGUUAUCAGGUCAGUGCCUCGCCCGAGGAGGAGCUUUCCACCGUGUGGAUGCCUCGCGACAUCGGGAGCAUGACAAACAUGGAGACACUGAGGCAUGUCCAAGUUCUUGAAGGUGGCGAUGAGUUCAAACACAUCGAGAAUCUCAAGCAUCUCAAAAAUCUUGGUGUGGUCAUUUAUGGUACACAAGAUAAUGUCAAUCAUUUGCUCCGAGUGGUCACGUUGAGUGAACACCUCCGCAGAUUGUCAGUUUGGGCUAGUAAGGGUAGUAUUGAUCUCAAAAUGGACCUGGGGCUCUCAGAAGAAGGUCCCAAGUUACUUGAGAGCAUUAGCAUCAACGGCAUCACCACGGGGUUGCCCGAAUGGAUUCAAAAGCUCCCACAUCUUGCCGAGAUCAUUCUGCGCAAGACAUCCUUGGCAGAUAAUUCUAUUCGAAUCCUCGGCCAGCUUGUACAACUUCGCUGCCUCACUCUCAGGCAUGAUUCAUACACAGAGAAUAAUCUCCCCUUCAUCGCUAAUGAGUUCAUGAAUAUCCAAUUUCUUGUCAUUGAGGGUGCCUCCAACAUUAAAAGGAUUAAAUUCUUUAGUGGCACAGCUCCCAAGCUUGAAAAGAUUGUUUGGACCUUCACCAGCAUGGACAUCAGCCAGGACACCAUUACUGGCCUCAGCAAUCUUCCAAGCCUAAAAGAGUUGGAGGUCAAUGGUGAGUUCGACCCAUACCAUGUGGAACAAGCUGUUGCACUGCAUCCAAACUGUCCUGUUUUUAGCAGUAAUUAG